GAUGAAGAACGCAGCGAAACGCGAUAUGUAAUGUGAAUUGCAGAAUUCAGUGAAUCAUCGAAUCUUUGAACGCACAUGGCGCCUUCCAGUAUCCUGGGAGGCAUGCCUGUCCGAGCGUCGUUUCAACCCUCGAGCCCCCGUGGCCCGGCGUUGGGGAUCUGCCACGGCAGGCCCCUAAAACCAGUGGCGGACCCGAAGGCCCUCUCCUUUGCGCAGUAGCAUCAGCCUCGCAUUGGGAUCCCUCGGCGUCCUGCCUCUAAACCCCCCACAAGUCCGCUCCGGCGGCACCAAGGUUGACCUCGGAUCAGGUAGGAAUACCCGCUGAACUUAAGCAUAUCAAUAACGGAGGA
This 350-nucleotide unclassified non-coding RNA is filed under the name soil metagenome. RNAcentral's name for it is "partial contains 5.8S ribosomal RNA, internal transcribed spacer 2, and large subunit ribosomal RNA". The stretch from base 1 to 120 matches the Rfam family "5.8S ribosomal RNA", at positions 35 to 154 of the family's 154-position model. The record is from RNAcentral.